AUUUACACAGGGGAGGAGGGGGAGAGAAAAACAAAAGAAAAUAUAGCUGGAGAAGAGCCCACUCUCCGUACACAAAGAAUAUGAAACUUCUACAGCAAUUAGUUGGAAUGCAAAUUAAGAAUAGGGAAUGAAGACACAAGAGCAUUCUUAAAUAUCAUUGUAGAGUGUAAUACCUGUGAUUUAAAGGACAAUCUUACUUAUUCAUCGUAUGCAACAAAAGGUGUAAUGGAGAAUAUGAGCAGCCUCUGUUGAAAAUAAAAGAAAGGAAUACAGAGUACCUUCUGCAUUCACAGUCCACCUGAGGAUGACAUCUCAGAUUUAUAAGCAGUCAAAUUCAGCUCAGUCCACAUUAGCAAUCCAGCUCUAAUAUGGAAGCCCCAAGGCAGCUCUGCCCCUGCUCAUCUUCCAGUCCACAACUUGCUGGCAACGUGCUUGUAAUUUACCAUUGGCAAGAAUUUCCUCUCACCACCUUUUCUUACUGAAGAUAUAUGUAUAUUCUUCUAACCCAGACAAACAGAAAAGCUAGAUGGAGUAGAAAAGCAAUUCACAAAAUGAUACCAAUUCCUUGCAAAGCACCAUUUCACAUUCCACCGGGGAAUCUGUGCACUUCCAGGAGAUGCCUCCAGGUUAUAAUGCACUGUAUGAAUACACUGGUGAUUUUGUACAAACCAGACAAAAAGCAGAAUAACCACAGGCAACAUUUUGCUGGGCUAGCCUACGUGCCUGCAGCUGCCCUCCUCUGCUUUGUACCAGUGCUGUGAGAAAGCACCUGGGACCCAGUUUGCUCCUUCACUGCAAAGAACGCACUUGCAUUCAUGCCAUGCUUUGGGUCAGCCUGUGUGCCUUCCUCUUCUUUGUCUGGUGCUAGAAGAAUCAGAAAAGCAAUGGUACCAGCCACAAGGAAAGAUGCAGAGCAGGGUUUAGGCUGCCUUGGGGACAGCAGUGUGCACCCCCACCACAGCUUCAUGAUCCUCAGUAUAAUCCGUCUGAAUCUUCUUGCAUGCAUUGAGAGCAGUUGUGCACAUGCUAGCACCAAGUCCAGUGGAGGUACAGCGCCAGCACGGGGGGCAGCCAUGAUCCUCACCAGCUCAAAAGCAUGAGAGCCACUGGUGGCUGAGGCUGUCUGAGUACAACUUCAAGCCCAACCUGAACCAGGUCAUAUCCUGUGUUUCCUGUGCCCAUACCUGUUUCAU
Molecule: long non-coding RNA, 1193 nt
Organism: Oxyura jamaicensis (ruddy duck)
Lineage: Eukaryota; Metazoa; Chordata; Aves; Anseriformes; Anatidae
Exons: 3
Source: RefSeq, a predicted model, not a curated record